This 494-nucleotide ribosomal RNA is filed under the name uncultured bacterium. Its description in RNAcentral is "partial 16S ribosomal RNA". It matches the Rfam family "Bacterial small subunit ribosomal RNA", at positions 28 to 507 of the family's 1533-position model. The record is from RNAcentral.
GACGAACGCUGGCGGCGUGCUUAACACAUGCAAGUCGAACGGUGAAGCGCCUUCCUUUUUGGUGGGUGUGGAUGAGUGGCGAACGGGUGAGUAACACGUGAGUAACCUGCCCCCUUCUUCUGGAUAACCGCAUGAAAGUGUGGCUAAUACGGGAUAUUCUGGGUCUGUCGCAUGAUGGGUCUGGGAAAGAUAUUGUUUCGGUGGGGGAUGGGCUCGCGGCCUAUCAGCUUGUUGGUGGGGUGAUGGCCUACCAAGGCGGUGACGGGUAGCCGGCCUGAGAGGGUGGACGGUCACACUGGGACUGAGACACGGCACAGACUCCGACGGGAGGCAGCAGUGGGGAAUAUUGCACAAUGGGCGCAAGCCUGAUGCAGCGACGCCGCGUGAGGGAUGGAGGCCUUCGGGUGGUGAACCUCUUUCGCCAGUGAAGCAGGCCUGCCUCGUUUGUGGGUGGGUUGACGGUAGCUGGAUAAGAAGCGCCGGCUAACUACGUG